Molecule: transfer RNA, 66 nt
Filed under: Japanagallia sp.
Lineage: Eukaryota; Metazoa; Arthropoda; Insecta; Hemiptera; Cicadellidae
Description: tRNA-His
Source: RNAcentral
AUUUAAGUAUUUUAUUAAAAAUAAAGAUUUGUGGAGUCUUAGAUACUAAAAUUAUAGUCUUAAAUU